Molecule: ribosomal RNA, 748 nt
Filed under: Marinomonas sp.
Lineage: Bacteria; Pseudomonadati; Pseudomonadota; Gammaproteobacteria; Oceanospirillales; Oceanospirillaceae
Description: bacterial SSU rRNA
Rfam family: Bacterial small subunit ribosomal RNA
Source: RNAcentral
GAAUUAGCUUGCUAAUUUGCUGACGAGCGGCGGACGGGUGAGUAACGCGUAGGAAUCUGCCUAGUAGUGGGGGACAACAUGUGGAAACGCAUGCUAAUACCGCAUACGCCCUACGGGGGAAAGGAGGGGAUCUUCGGACCUUCCGCUAUUAGAUGAGCCUGCGUGAGAUUAGCUAGUUGGUGGGGUAAAGGCUCACCAAGGCGACGAUCUCUAGCUGGUCUGAGAGGAUGAUCAGCCACACUGGGACUGAGACACGGCCCAGACUCCUACGGGAGGCAGCAGUGGGGAAUAUUGGACAAUGGGGGCAACCCUGAUCCAGCCAUGCCGCGUGUGUGAAGAAGGCCUUAGGGUUGUAAAGCACUUUCAGAGGUGAGGAAGGUUAUGCGGUUAAUACCCGUAUAAUUUGACGUUAGCCUCAGAAGAAGCACCGGCUAACUCUGUGCCAGCAGCCGCGGUAAUACAGAGGGUGCGAGCGUUAAUCGGAAUUACUGGGCGUAAAGCGCGCGUAGGCGGUUUGUUAAGUCGGAUGUGAAAUCCCAGGGCUCAACCUUGGAAUUGCACCCGAUACUGGCAGGCUAGAGUACGGUAGAGGGGGUGUGGAAAUUUCCUGUGUAGCCGGUGAAAUGCGUAGAUAUAGGGAGGGAACAUCAGUGGGCGAAAGGCGACACCCCUGGGACCGAAUACUGGACGGCUAAAGUUGCGAAAAGCGUUGGUGGAGCCAAACGGGGAUUUAGCAUACCCCUGGGUA